RNAcentral lists this ribosomal RNA (414 nucleotides) under uncultured bacterium. RNAcentral describes it as "bacterial SSU rRNA". It matches the Rfam family "Bacterial small subunit ribosomal RNA", at positions 62 to 504 of the family's 1533-position model. The record is from RNAcentral.
UCGAACGCUUCGCCGGUUUCGGCCGGUGGGGAGUGGCGCACGGGUGAGUAGCGCGUGGGAACCUGCCCUGUUGUGGGGGAUAACCGAGGGAAACUUCGGCUAAUACCGCAUGCGCCCCGACGCGAGUCGGGGGAAAGAUUUAUCGCAGCAGGAGGGGCCCGCGUCGGAUUAGCUGGUUGGCGGGGUAACGGCCCACCAAGGCGAUGAUCCGUAGCUGGUCUGAGAGGAUGAUCAGCCACACUGGGACUGAGACACGGCCCAGACUCCUACGGGAGGCAGCAGUGGGGAAUAUUGGACAAUGGGGGCAACCCUGAUCCAGCAAUGCCGCGUGAGUGAUGAAGGCCUUCGGGUUGUAAAGCUCUUUCGCCCGCGACGAUNAUGACGGUAGCGGGAGAAGAAGCCCCGGCUAACUUC